RNAcentral lists this unclassified non-coding RNA (2972 nucleotides) under Hevea brasiliensis (rubber tree). The record is from RNAcentral. Lineage: Eukaryota; Viridiplantae; Streptophyta; Magnoliopsida; Malpighiales; Euphorbiaceae.
UUGCCUGUUUCCGAACUAACCGAAACCUAGUCAUAAACCCAAAUGGAAACCACAGAAGAGCCGGAGCUUCCUCGAGACCCCUCAGACAACCGUAACGACGUUGUCUCCGACGACUCCUCACCGGAAACCGACCUCACUCUCUCUCCAAUCCAACCCCAAAACCACGUUAACGAUCCCCAAAAUUCUUCUGAAAACCACCUCCCACACUCAUCCGAAACCCAGUCUCCACCACCCAAUACGACACUCGACGCUCCCGUUUCAGACUCUCAAGACGAUUCCUCCGACCCAAUCCCCGAAGCCACCCUCGAAGAACAGCCCCAAAACCCCAAUUCUACAGACCCCGCUCCACCACCAAAACGACGACGCCGUAGAAAGCGGUUCUUCACCGAAAUCAACGGAAACCCGUCGUUUCGCCGGCAGAGGAUAGCCGGAGGCUUGUCCGAAGAACUCAACGUCGAAGCACUCAUUGCAAUCUCCGUAGGUUUUCCCGUCGAUUCGCUCACCGAAGAAGAAAUCGAAGCAAAUGUGGUGUCGACAAUUGGCGGCACCGAGCAAGAUAACUAUAUUGUUGUGAGGAACCACAUUCUUUCUCGGUGGAGAUCAAAUGUGUCGAUUUGGCUUACUCGCGACCACGCUCUUGAGUCAAUCCGGGCUGAGUACAAGAACCUGGUCGACUCUGCUUAUAAUUUUCUACUAGAACAUGGCUACAUCAACUUCGGGCUCGCGCCUGCUGUUAAAGAGGCGCAAAGGGCGUUGCAUGAGCGGGCUGAGAGAGCCAAUGUGGUGGUUGUAGGGGCAGGUCUCGCUGGACUAGUUGCAGCCAGGCAGCUAGUGGCUAUGGGGUUUUAAGUGGUCGUCUUGGAAGGUAGAGCACGGCCAGGUGGUCGUGUGAAAACAAGGAGGAUGAAGGGCGAUGGGGUGGUGGCUGCCGCCGAUGUGGGUGGGAGUGUUCUUACCGGAAUCAAUGGGAACCCACUAGGAGUUCUUGCAAGGCAAUUGGGUUUACCUCUUCAUAAGGUGAGAGAUAUUUGCCCUUUGUAUUUACCUGAUGGGAAGGCUGUAGAUUCAGAGAUUGAUUCUAGAGUAGAGGUUUCGUUUAAUAAAUUGUUAGACAGAGUUUGUAAGCUUAGGCAGGCCAUGAUUGAGGAAGUUAAAUCUGUUGAUGUUAACUUAGGAACCGCGCUUGAAGCUUUUAGGCAUGCUUAUAAGGUAGCUGAGGAUUCACAGGAGAGAAUGCUGUUGAAUUGGCAUCUUGCAAAUUUAGAAUAUGCAAAUGCUUCUCUAAUGUCUAAUUUGUCUAUGGCGUAUUGGGAUCAGGAUGAUCCAUAUGAGAUGGGAGGUGACCAUUGUUUUAUUCCUGGAGGUAAUGAUACUUUUGUUAAAGAACUUGCUAUGGAUCUGCCCAUUUUCUAUGAAAGGACUGUAGAGAGUAUUAGGUAUGGAGUUGAUGGGGUUAUUGUUUAUGCAAGUGGGCAGGUGUUUCGUGGUGACAUGGCGCUCUGUACAGUGCCAUUGGGUGUGCUUAAGAAGGGAACUAUUGAAUUUGUGCCUGAGCUUCCACAAAGAAAGAAAGAUGCAAUUCAGAGAUUGGGAUAUGGGCUGUUAAAUAAGGUGGCUCUGUUGUUUCCCUAUAAUUUUUGGGGAGGAGAGAUUGAUACAUUCGGGCAUUUGACAGAAGAUUCAAGCAUGAGAGGUGAAUUCUUUCUGUUUUAUAGUUAUUCUUCUGUUUCAGGGGGUCCGCUUCUAAUUGCUCUUGUUGCUGGGGAUGCUGCAGUUAAGUUUGAGACAAUGUCUCCAGUGGAGUCUGUUAAAAGGGUCCUAGAAAUAUUGCGGGGUAUUUUCCAUCCAAAAGGGAUUGUUGUUCCAGAUCCAGUUCAGGCAGUCUGUACCCGCUGGGGGAAAGAUUGCUUCACAUAUGGGUCUUAUUCUUAUGUUGCAGUUGGAUCUUCAGGAGAUGAUUAUGAUAUUCUUGCUGAGAGCAUUGGAGAUGGAAGGGUUUUCUUUGCGGGAGAGGCAACAAACAAACAGUAUCCAGCAACAAUGCAUGGAGCAUUUCUAAGUGGAAUGAGAGAGGCUGCUAACAUAUUGAGAGUGGCCAAGAGGAGGUCUUUGGCUCUGACCAGCAAAUUAAACAAUGACAUUGAGGAAAGUGAUGAUUUAACUAAAUUAUAUGACACCCCUGAUCUGAUAUUUGGGAGCUUCUCUAUUCUGUUUGAUCCCAGGUCUAAUGAUCUUGAAUCCCUUUCAUUAUUAAGGGUCAAAUUCCAAGGACCAAAAUUGGAUUCUUGCUCGCUGUGUCUUUAUGGUUUGAUUUCCAGGAGGCAGGCCAUUGAACUAAGCGAGUUAGAUGAUGAUGGAAAGAGGAUGGAAAUGUUAUGUCACAACUUUCAGGUAAGGUUGGUUGGUAGGAAAGGCUUCUCUGAUGCUGGGGAUUCCCUUAUCAUGCACAUCAAGGCAUCUAGAUCCAGACUAAUUGUUGGAAUUUGAGGUUGACGCUGGGCAUCAAAACAGAAAAUCUCUCUUUUGCUGUCCUAUGAGUGGAGGUGGCUAACUCAUUGGCAUCUCAAAUAUUGGACUUUCCAUGAACUGGAUAAUUGAUUUUAGAGACAAUUAUGUGGGUAAUAGUUCAGGUAUUUCCAAAUUGAUUUAUGCAUAAUCUGGUUUGAUUUUUGAUGUAUUUUAGAUAGAUAGUCUUUUUUGGCUGUAAUUCAAACAUUGAUUUGGGCAUAAUAUUUGCUCAAGGGUAGAACAAUAUUUUGCUGUUCUUUGCAGAAACAGGUGUCCUCUACAAGAAAUUAUUGAAUGGAUGGGAGUUUAGGUCCUCUUAGUCUUUCCAAUUUCUACAUCAGAGUAAUUUUUGAGAAGGAUUGGAGAAAUGCUCCAAUUGCCCAUUUUUUAAGAAGAUUGAAGCUGAUUUGUGUAUAGAAUUCUAGUAAAAUUAAUUAUCUGUACUUGUGAACCCAUCAAUGCAU